UGGGGAACCUGCCCCAUAGUCUGGGAUACCACUUGGAAACAGGUGCUAAUACCGGAUAAGAAAGCAGAUCGCAUGAUCAGCUUUUAAAAGGCGGCGUAAGCUGUCGCUAUGGGAUGGCCCCGCGGUGCAUUAGCUAAUUGGUAAGGUAAAGGCUUACCAAGGCGAUGAUGCAUAGCCGAGUUGAGAGACUGAUCGGCCACAUUGGGACUGAGACACGGCCCAAACUCCUACGGGAGGCAGCAGUU
This 245-nucleotide ribosomal RNA is filed under the name uncultured Lactobacillus sp. RNAcentral describes it as "partial 16S ribosomal RNA". It matches the Rfam family "Bacterial small subunit ribosomal RNA", at positions 118 to 355 of the family's 1533-position model. The record is from RNAcentral. Lineage: Bacteria; Bacillati; Bacillota; Bacilli; Lactobacillales; Lactobacillaceae.